Molecule: transfer RNA, 76 nt
Filed under: Bacillota bacterium
Lineage: Bacteria; Bacillati; Bacillota
Description: tRNA-Glu
Rfam family: tRNA
About the family: Transfer RNA (tRNA) molecules are approximately 80 nucleotides in length. Their secondary structure includes four short double-helical elements and three loops (D, anti-codon, and T loops).
Source: RNAcentral
GCCCCCAUCGUCUAGGGGCCUAGGACAUCGCCCUCUCACGGCGAAGACAGGGGUUCAAAUCCCCUUGGGGGUACCA